RNAcentral lists this ribosomal RNA (258 nucleotides) under uncultured bacterium. RNAcentral's name for it is "partial 16S ribosomal RNA". The record is from RNAcentral.
CUGCUGCCUCCCGUAGGAGUUUGGGCCGUGUCUCAGUCCCAAUGUGGCCGUCCACCCUCUCAGGCCGGCUACUGAUCGUCGCCUUGGUGGGCCUUUACCCCGCCAACCAGCUAAUCAGACGCGGGUCCAUCUUGCGCCACCGGAGUUUUUCACACUGUCCCAUGCAGGACCGUGCGCUUAUGCGGUAUUAGCACCUAUUUCUAAGUGUUAUCCCCCAGUGCAAGGCAGGUUACCCACGCGUUACUCACCCGUCCGCCA